RNAcentral lists this ribosomal RNA (572 nucleotides) under uncultured bacterium. RNAcentral describes it as "partial 16S ribosomal RNA". It matches the Rfam family "Bacterial small subunit ribosomal RNA", at positions 355 to 920 of the family's 1533-position model. The record is from RNAcentral.
UGGGGAAUUUUGGACAAUGGGCGAAAGCCUGAUCCAGCAAUGCCGCGUGUGUGAAGAAGGCCUUCGGGUUGUAAAGCACUUUGUCCGGAAAGAAAUCCUUGGCUCUAAUACAGUCGGGGGAUGACGGUACCGGAAGAAUAAGCACCGGCUAACUACGUGCCAGCAGCCGCGGUAAUACGUAGGGUGCAAGCGUUAAUCGGAAUUACUGGGCGUAAAGCGUGCGCAGGCGGUUUGCUAAGACCGAUGUGAAAUCCCCGGGCUCAACCUGGGAACUGCAUUGGUGACUGGGCAGGCUAGAGUAUGGCAGAGGGGGGUAGAAUUCCACGUGUAGCAGUGAAAUGCGUAGAGAUGUGGAGGAAUACCGAUGGCGAAGGCAGCCCCCUGGGCCAAUACUGACGCUCAUGCACGAAAGCGUGGGGAGCAAACAGGAUUAGAUACCCUGGUAGUCCACGCCCUAAACGAUGUCAACUAGUUGUUGGGGAUUCAUUUCCUUAGUAACGUAGCUAACGCGUGAAGUUGACCGCCUGGGGAGUACGGUCGCAAGAUUAAAACUCAAAUGAAUUGACGGGGUC